Molecule: transfer RNA, 85 nt
Filed under: Felis catus (domestic cat)
Lineage: Eukaryota; Metazoa; Chordata; Mammalia; Carnivora; Felidae
Also listed under: 2 other names
Rfam family: tRNA
About the family: Transfer RNA (tRNA) molecules are approximately 80 nucleotides in length. Their secondary structure includes four short double-helical elements and three loops (D, anti-codon, and T loops).
Source: Rfam by way of RNAcentral
GCCUGGGUGGCUCAGUCGGUUGAGCGUCUGACUUCAGCUCAGGUCAUGAUCUCACUGUUCGUGAGUUCGAGCCCCGUGUCGGGCU